Rosa chinensis is the source of this 272-nucleotide long non-coding RNA. RefSeq lists it as uncharacterized. The record is from RefSeq and is a predicted model, not a curated record. The transcript has 4 exons. NCBI's taxonomy places the organism in Eukaryota, Viridiplantae, Streptophyta, Magnoliopsida, Rosales, Rosaceae.
CAUGUGAGGACCCUUCUCAGCCCCUCUCUUCGACCGUUGAGGCGGCGACGGCCAUCGCUCUCAUCGACUGUAACUCGACAGCCUCGAACUCUGGGUUGCUCUCUUCCUCAAGCAGCAAAGCUGAAAAGUUUCCACAUAUUCGAUUUCUGAUUCUUCAAAGUCUGUGUCUUGGGUGUCAUAUAGCCUCACAAUCACAGAGUUCGUUGGGGAAGUUCAUCGAGUCCUUAGCAUUUUCUUCCAGAUUAUGGGUAUUGCUGGUUGCCUCGUAUUUC